Pelodiscus sinensis (Chinese soft-shelled turtle) is the source of this 2155-nucleotide non-coding RNA. Lineage: Eukaryota; Metazoa; Chordata; Testudines; Trionychidae. The record is from RefSeq and is a predicted model, not a curated record.
UCUUUCUUCUUCGAGGACUGUCCCCGUGGGUGCUCCACCAUAGGUGAUUAUGAAGCAAUGUUCGUAUGAGGAGGUGGGAGUUUCGGAUACUGAGAUUAUGAGGCCGUGAGUAUUGUGUGGCCAAACUUUGUGUCCAUGUCUGCAAAAGUUUGCAGUGCGUAAUGUCGUGUGAAAGUGUGUAUUGAGGCCCAUGUUGCGGUGCUACAAAUGUUUUCCAUCGAGACUCCUCAUAGAAAUGCUAUCGUGGCUGCCAUUGCCCAUGUCGAGUGGGUCCGUACAGUUGUUGGUAACUCUUUUUGGGCUAUGGCACAUGCUAGUUUGAUGCAACUAGAUAUCUACUUUGACAGUCUUUAAUUUGAUAUAGACAGUCCCUGCAACUUCUCUGUUGAAGAGAUAAAGAGACGUGGAGUUUUCCUAAAGGGCUUAAUCUGUUACAAGUAAAAUGCUAAUGCCCUGUGGCUAUCCAAGGUAUGGAGAGCUGCUUCUUUGUUGUCCUUGUGUGGUUUAGGGAAGAAGACAGGUAAGUAUAUGGGUUCGUUACAGUGGAAUUCGGUAAGUACUUUGGGGAGCAAUUUGGGGUGGGUUCUAAGCAUGACCUUAUCCUUGUGGAAUAUAGUGUAAGGUGGGUCUGCUGCUUGUAAGGCAGAAAUGCUGAAUAGAUGAAGAUUUGAGUAAAUUUUAAGGCCUGCCACCUGUAAUGGAGAUAAGUGAUGUAAUAUAGCACUAUGUACUCUUGUCAAUGCUGUGUAGAAUUGUAAAUUGAAGAAAAAUGUUUGUAAGACCAUUAAUAAGGGAAAAGCUGUUUAAAAUGUAGUUUUCCAAAAUGGAGUCCAAAACUCCAUUUUGUACCUGGAACUUUCCAGAUUUGUCUUUUACAAUUGGGUAUGGCAUAGAAUGUGCAGGUAGAAUAUUUGAGUUCAAAACCUGAGCUACCUGUCAGUUAAAUUUGCAUAAACAUGAAUAUGUAUGAGCAUUCCUAUUAGCCAAUCAAUUCAAACCACGCUGGAAAAGCAUCCUUGCCAUGUCCAAAUCAGUUUAAAACAUCUAGAUAAUGAAUAUGCAUGAAACCACCCUAUAUAAGUUUGGACCGAACGUCAGUUCGUGCUGGUUCCCGGACGUAGCUGGGGCCUGCAGCAUCGUGGGUUUCGUCGGGUUAGUAGAGCAUCCUAGCCUGGGCUCUUUUCAGAAAAAUACCUGGAUGGUAUUUUUCAUAUAUAGAAACUUUUGGUAUCUUAAUGGUACUAGGUAUCCUUGUGGUAUCGAACAUCUUUAUGGUGUUCUAACCUUCUUCCUUGGGUUACAUGACGGAAGGUCAUUCCCACUUUUAGUUUAGUGUAGUUUAGUUCUUAGAAUAGGAUAGAUCUCCCAUGUGUCAGCGACAGGUGCGUCGGUCAACGUAAGGUCGGCCGUCAUCGUGUUUGUUCGACGGGCGCAUCGGAGGAGUGUAGGAUUUUAUUUUAGGAUUAGAAUAAGUUAAGUACAGAGUCUAUCAUCGCUGGUUCGAGACGCUACCGAAGAGCGUGAAAAGGGCUGAUGAGAAAAUGAUCCGUGGAAGACGAAUCGCCGGUCGUCGUUCCCAAUUCCUGUCUUCGUGGGACUAUCCUGCCUCGAGUCGCCCGACGAGGGAUCGCCUGGUUGUUCCUCGCCCGAGGCUCUAAAACAGCCAAAGGCUUGAGGUCACCAGCUUCUGCUCCACUAUCGUCGAAGACUCUGGCCACCAAGCAAUGACUGAAAUCUAACUGGUAUUGGCAUGAGGUGGAUUUGAACCAGCAAUCCCAGAGAUAAAAGGCAACACAGUGCCUGGUACACAGAGAAAAUGACAUCCCACUACUACCGUCAGCAAAUGAAAUGUUACCUUCAGUUAAAAUGGGAGAGACCUGUGCUUUGGUGAUGAAUAUACAUCAGUCUAAACCUCCUGGCUACUUCAUCACAUCAAAGAAAAAAAAGGGGCAAAUGAAACAUUCUCGAGGUGAUCAAUUCAAGAGGAGUGACAGUCGUGCAGUGCCAUGAAUCACUACAUUCUAAUAUGCCAUGUGAUGGGGUACUGGUUUCGUCAUCUAGAACGGCUGAAGUUGCACACAGUGAAAAAUGGACACUUCAUUAUGUGCACCUGGCAGGGUGAGACAAGGUCAGAGGUUUUAGAAGGAAACCCAAU